UACGGAGGAUCCGAGCGUUAUCCGGAUUUAUUGGGUUUAAAGGGUGCGCAGGCGGGAGAUUAAGUCGGCGGUGAAAUUUUGCAGCUCAACUGUAAAAGUGCCUUCGAAACUGGUUUCCUUGAGUGUGGAUGAAGUAGGCGGAAUUUGUGGUGUAGCGGUGAAAUGCAUAGAUACCACGAGGAACUCCGAUUGCGCAGGCAGCUUACUAAACCAUAACUGACGCUCAGGCACGAAGGCGUGGGGAUCAAACAGGAUUAGAUACCCCUGUA
This 269-nucleotide ribosomal RNA is filed under the name uncultured prokaryote. Its description in RNAcentral is "partial 16S ribosomal RNA". It matches the Rfam family "Bacterial small subunit ribosomal RNA", at positions 524 to 792 of the family's 1533-position model. The record is from RNAcentral.